UGAACAUACCCGGAAGACAGAGGCUGAUGAAUGCUUUAGUCUUCAUGUCACCCAAAGCAGCUCAAAAGUCAGAACACAUCUGGAUCUUUAUUUGCAGUUCUAGUUUAGUUAACAAGGAUGUUUUUGUUCAUGGUUGGACAUGGAAUAACAUGAGAAGAGUUUGGAAAACUUUAACUUGUGGGCCUCCUUCAGACUAUCUGAAUCAGAAUCUCCAGGGUAUACUGUAGUACUUUUAAAUCAUUUUUUCAGACAGAAUUACCCAAGAAAGCCAGUCUACCAGGAAGGAUUUGAACACAUUUUGUGGAGAGACACAGUUUAACCCACAAUGUAGGGUGUUUGUGCUGUUCUUCUGAUUCUACCACUUCGAAUAUCUUCUGAUUCUUCCCUUUGGAAUUGCUGAAGUAUGACGAAUGACCUCUAAGUGGCCGAUCUCUAGACACCCAACACCUCUUCAUGUCGGGCCACACCACGAAGGUCCCACAUGACACUGAGAAGGAAGCUGUCCCUGGCCCAGGAAGCUUGG
This is a non-coding RNA of Heterocephalus glaber (naked mole-rat), 523 nucleotides long. NCBI's taxonomy places the organism in Eukaryota, Metazoa, Chordata, Mammalia, Rodentia, Bathyergidae. The record is from RefSeq and is a predicted model, not a curated record.